This 1275-nucleotide ribosomal RNA is filed under the name metagenome. Its description in RNAcentral is "bacterial SSU rRNA". It matches the Rfam family "Archaeal small subunit ribosomal RNA", at positions 1 to 1306 of the family's 1478-position model. The record is from RNAcentral.
UCCAGUUGAUCCUGCUGGCGGCUGCGGCUCUCUGGUUUGCGUUUAGACAUGCAAGUCUUUCUGUUCUUGAACGGAAGGCGAACUGCUCAGUAACACGUAGCUAAUCUACCCUUAGGUCAGGGAUAUCCUCGGGAAACUGAGGUUAAUACCUGAUAAGAGAUAUUCCUGGAAUGAUUUAUCUCUGAAAUUCGUGCCUAAGGAAGAGGCUGCGGUGGAUUAGGUAGUUGGUGGUAUAAGAGACUACCAAGCCAUUGAUCCAUAAGGGCUCUUAGCGGAGAGGCCCUGAGAGGGAAUCUGAGAUACUAUUCCCAGCCCCACGGGGUGCAGCAGUUAGGAAUAUUCUGCAAUGCGCGCAAGCGUGACAGAUUGAACCAGAGUGUUUGUCAUUAGACAGACUUUUGUGGAAUGUAAAAAGUUCCACGAAUAAGGACUGGGUAAGACUAGUGCCAGCCGCCGCGGUAAUACUAGCGGUCCAAGUCGCAGCCAUUUUUAUUGGGUCUAAAACAUCCGUAGCUUGUUCGGUAAGUUUCUUGUGAAAUCUUGUCUCUUAAAGACAGGGCGGGCAGGAAAUACUGCCGGGCUAGAGACCGGGAGACGUAAUGAGUACGACUAAAGUAACGGUAAAAUGUUUUAAUCUUAGUCGGACUAACAAUAGCGAAGGCACAUUACGAGAACGGUUCUGACAGUAAGGGAUGAAAGCUAGGGGCGCAAAACGGAUUAGAUACCCGUGUAGUCCUAGCAGUAAACACUGCACACUAAACAUUGGGACCUCUUCGUGAGGUUUCAGUGCUGCAGGGAAGCCGAAGAGUGUGCUACCUGGGAAGUAUAGUCGCAAGACCGAAACUUAAAGGAAUUGGCGGGAGACACUACAAUGGGUGACGCGUGCGGUUCAAUUAGAUUCUACACCGUGAACCUCACCAGGAGCGACAGCAGGAUGAAGGUCAGUCUAAAGGGCUUACCUGACACGCUGAGAGGAGUUGCAUGGCCGACGUCAGCCUGUGCCGUGAGGUGACCUGUUAAAUCAGGUAACAGGCGAGACCCACAUGUAUAUUUACUAAGUGUACCAUAUACAGAUUGCCUUGGUAACAAGGAUGAAAGCGUGGGCUACGUUAGGUGAGUACAGCCCGAAUCCCCUGGGCAACACGCGCGCGGCAAUGGUGAAUACAACGGGACGCGACUCUGAAAAGAGAAGCUAAUCUCUUAAAAUUCAUCUUAGUCCAAAUUGAGGUUUGUAACCCAGCCUCAUGCCGAUGGAAUCCAUAGUAAUCGUUUGUU